GGUGAAGAGACAGGUGAGUCAUCGAAUCUUUGAACGCACAUUGCGCCCGCCAGUAUUCUGGCGGGCAUGCCUGUUCGAGCGUCAUUUCAACCAUCAAGCCCCGGGCUUGUGUUGGGGACCUGCGGCUGCCGCAGGCCCUGAAAACCAGUGGCGGGCUCGCUAGUCACUCCGAGCGUAGUAGUCUACACCUCGCUCAGGGCGUGCUGCGGGUUCCGGCCGUUAAAAGCCUUAUUUUACCCAAGGUUGACCUCGGAUCAGGUAGGAAGACCCGCUGAACUUAAGCAUAUCAAUAAGCGGAGG
Molecule: unclassified non-coding RNA, 300 nt
Filed under: uncultured Chaetomiaceae
Lineage: Eukaryota; Fungi; Ascomycota; Sordariomycetes; Sordariales
Description: sequence contains 5.8S rRNA gene, ITS2
Rfam family: 5.8S ribosomal RNA (bases 1-84)
Source: RNAcentral